Non-coding RNA from Paramisgurnus dabryanus, 2114 nucleotides. NCBI's taxonomy places the organism in Eukaryota, Metazoa, Chordata, Actinopteri, Cypriniformes, Cobitidae. The record is from RefSeq and is a predicted model, not a curated record.
ACAAAAUAUUUAUAUUCCUUGUGUAAACAUAAUUUAAUUGAUUAGGAUGAAAAUGUUUUGUUUGAAUGUAAAAUGAACACAUUAUUCUCACAUUGAUUAAAAUUGAUUGAAUUGAAUACUUAAAGCAAUAAAAUUGAGUUUGCACACAAAAUGGCACCUCCUGAGCAGAAGGUGGCAGUAACGCUCAAUAAAAAGGACGUCAAUCGCCAUAAAAGAAGAAUAAACAUCGUUUGUUUUGGGCGCCAAAAUGAAGACUCAGCAGCAGCAGACAGCAGUCAGUCAGAAGAACUCUCUCAGACGGACAUCACGUUAUUAAAGUCCAUCAUCCUUUUAUGCACUGACUACACACUCAAAAGCAUUGAUAAAUGCUGAAUUUAAAAGAAUCACUACUGUCUUAUGUUCCUGCGUGUCACCUGGACCUCCAAUCCAAAAACCUGACGAAACUCUUCUAUCAGAAAGGAGGACAGCUAGCAAAAAGACUUCAAACAAUGAAUGAUCAAAUGACAGAAGGCAUGAAUGAAGUCAGCAUCAGUGUGGUCAUUUGAAGACACCACUGUUGGGAUUUGUGCUCUCAAACAACAUGCUUCUUGUGAUGAAGAAGAGGAUCUUUGUAUAGUCCUGGAAGGCAUGAAGGUGUUGCAACAUCGUGCCAUGUUGUUUGAGCUGAUGUAUGCCUUAAACCUGAGCUAUCCUGAUCUCUGCUUUAUUUUUGACAGGGUACCCGCGGAGUCUUAAAAGUCUUGAAAAAGUAUUGAAUUUCAUUUUCCCAUAUUAAGGCCUUAAAAGGUAUUGAAUUUCACCUCAAAGUCUUGAAUUUUUCACGAAGGUCUUAAUUUUUCAAAUGAUCAAUAGAUUUAUAUGCUGUUAAUUCAGACACAAAACUCGCGUGCACAAAAACCAUGCGCGAGCGACAGAUACGAGCGGAGAACACUAUCCAUGUUUGGAAAAGCAUCUUAGCAAGCGCGCAGAACACUAUCCACGCGCGGGAAAGCAUUCUCGCGUGUUCACAGAACACUAUUCGCGCGCAGAAAAACGUCCUCCCGGGAGCGCACCUCUGUUCAAAGCGCACAAACACAGUCACGCGAGCAAAGUAAAAAGUUAAGUAAAAAAGCUGGGAUGAUAAAGUAAAGGCUGGGAUGAGCGCUCGCUCGACUUUCUCUAUGCGCUCGGAGCUGCACAACACGCACUAGCUCGUUCAAGUUGACUUUGGGACUGUGGGGCGGGACAAUGACGGGUGUCCUCUCACCUGUGAUCGGUUGUUUGAUUUAAUCAGUGACACACACAAUCUUCUGUUCCACAAUCUGUCUCUAGUAAAUUUAGGUAGAGAAGACACGUUUUAAUAUGAUCAUUAUGUCGGAGAAGGUCAUUUAUAUGUUAAACAAUAGUCUUGUGUGAUCCAUGCAAUAAUAAGCUGCAACAAUAACGCAAAUUUGAAAGCUAUUAUAUAUUUUGUUUACUGUUUAAUUAGAUGUCAACUUGCAAUACAUACUAUAGGCUACAUAUUUACAUUGUCACACUAAGUUAGCAUUAGAAAACUUUCGUAUGGUCCUGUAUAAAGAUUAACAUAAAUAUAUCUAUAUAUGAGCUUGUGUCCAGUUUUUUGUUUGGUGCAGUAAACAGAUCUCUUGUCUUUUUAGGGUCAAAAUAGAAUUACAUUUUAAUUUGUUGUUUUGUUUGAGGGGGUUUUGUUUCAUUUGCCAUAAUAUGGUUAAUUUUGUUUGUCAGUAUUGUUCUGGUUCAGAGCAUUAGUGAUGAGUGUUAUUAGAUGUUGUUAUUAUCUUAACUAUAUUAAACAGCAAAAAAAUUAAUACCUUAAAAUUGGUGUUAUUGUUUGGCUUAUUUCAUGGAUCAAACAAGGCUAUUGUUUUAACAUAAAUUACCUUAUCCGACAUAAUGGUCAUAUUAAAACGUGGCGGGCUGCACAAGAUAAAGAGGAGGGCCGCAUGUGGCCCCUGGCCCUCCAGUUGCCCAUCCCUGAUUUAGGGAUUUUCAAAUUUUAAUAAGUGUACAUUUAGAUCUAUUUGAUUGUUGGUUUUGAUUGUUGGGUAAAGAUAAGGGUUAGGCCGUUUGGGGUAUAUUACGUUAUUUAAAAUUAUUUAUUCUACCCGACUGAA